UAGGGAAUAUUGGACAAUGGGGGAAACCCUGAUCCAGCAACGCCGCGUGGAUGAUGAAGCUUUUUGGAGUGUAAAAUCCUGUCAGUGGGGACGAAACGUCCGGGUAGGAAAUGCCCCGGGCCUGACUGUACCCGCAGAGGAAGUUCCGGCCAACUCCGUGCCAGCAGCCGCGGUAAUACGGGGGGAACGAGCGUUGUUCGGAUUUACUGGGCGUAAAGGGCACGCAGGCGGGGAGACAAGUCAGAUGUGAAAACCCACAGCUUAACUCUGGGCCUGCAUUUGAUACUGUUUCUCUUGAGUACGGGAGAGGAUGGCGGAAUUCUUGGUGUAGCGGUGAAAUGCGUAGAUAUCAAGAAGAACACCGGUGGCGAAGGCGGCCAUCUGGCCCGAUACUGACGCUCAUGUGCGAAGGCAAGGGGAGCAAACAGGAUUAGAUACCCUGGUAGUCCUUGCAGUAAACGAUGGAUACUAGGUGUUGGAGGUAUCGACUCCUCCAGUGCCGCAG
RNAcentral lists this ribosomal RNA (505 nucleotides) under uncultured bacterium. RNAcentral describes it as "bacterial SSU rRNA". It matches the Rfam family "Bacterial small subunit ribosomal RNA", at positions 355 to 851 of the family's 1533-position model. The record is from RNAcentral.